Molecule: ribosomal RNA, 488 nt
Filed under: uncultured Gammaproteobacteria bacterium
Lineage: Bacteria; Pseudomonadati; Pseudomonadota; Gammaproteobacteria
Description: partial 16S ribosomal RNA
Source: RNAcentral
AGUUGACAUCGUUUASAGCGUGGACUACCRGGGUAUCUAAUCSUGUUUGCUCCCCACGCUUUCGCUCCUCAGCGUCAGUUCUUGACCAGGKGGSCGCCUUCGCCACKGGUAUUCCUUCCAAUAUCUACGCAUUUCACCGMUACACUGRAAAUUCUACCACCCUCUUCAAAACUCUAGCCUGMCAGUUCAAAAUGCUAUUCCAAGGUUGAGCCSUGGGCUUUCACAUCUUGCUUAACAAACCGCCUACGUGCGCUUUACGCCCAGUAAUUCMGAUUAACGCUUGCACCCUCCGUAUUACCGCGGCUGCUGGCACGGAGUUAGCCGGUGCUUCUUCUGUGGCUAACGUCAAUGAAKGNUGCUAUUAACRAHAYACCCUUCCUCASCACUGAAAGUGCUUUACAACCCGAAGGCCUUCUUCACACACGCGGSAUGGCUGGAUCAGGCUUGCGCCCAUUGUCCAAUAUUCCCCACUGCUGCCUCCCGUAGGC